ACGAACGCUGGCGGCAUGCCUCACACAUGCAAGUCGAACGAGACCUUCGGGUCUAGUGGCGCACGGGUGCGUAACGCGUGGGAACCUGCCCUUAGGUUCGGAAUAACUCCCCGAAAGGGGUGCUAAUACCGGAUAAUGUCUUCGGACCAAAGAUUUAUCGCCUUUGGAUGGGCCCGCGUUGGAUUAGCUAGUUGGUAGGGUAAAAGCCUACCAAGGCGACGAUCCAUAGCUGGUCUGAGAGGAUGAUCAGCCACACUGGGACUGAGACACGGCCCAGACUCCUACGGGAGGCAGCAGUGGGGAAUAUUGGACAAUGGGCGAAAGCCUGAUCCAGCAAUGCCGCGUGAGUGAUGAAGGCCUUAGGGUUGUAAAGCUCUUUUACCCGGAAUGAUAAUGACAGUACCGGGAGAAUAAGCUCCGGCUAACUCCGUG
RNAcentral lists this ribosomal RNA (432 nucleotides) under uncultured bacterium. Its description in RNAcentral is "partial 16S ribosomal RNA". It matches the Rfam family "Bacterial small subunit ribosomal RNA", at positions 29 to 507 of the family's 1533-position model. The record is from RNAcentral.